UACGUAGGGGGCAAGCGUUGUCCGGAAUGACUGGGCGUAAAGGGAGUGUAGGCGGCCUUGUAAGUUAGAUGUGAAAUCCUACGGCUUAACCGUAGAACUGCAUCUAAAACUGUGAGGCUGGAGUGCAGGAGAGGUGGGUGGAAUUCCUAGUGUAGCGGUGGAAUGCGUAGAUAUUAGGAGGAGCACCAGAGGCGAAGGCGACUCACUGGACUGUAACUGACGCUGAGGCUCGAAAGCGUGGGGAGCAAACAGG
Molecule: ribosomal RNA, 253 nt
Filed under: uncultured bacterium
Lineage: Bacteria
Description: partial 16S ribosomal RNA
Rfam family: Bacterial small subunit ribosomal RNA
Source: RNAcentral